This 217-nucleotide long non-coding RNA is filed under the name Carica papaya (papaya). RNAcentral's name for it is "long non-coding RNA (CPAP_LNC013294)". The record is from RNAcentral. Lineage: Eukaryota; Viridiplantae; Streptophyta; Magnoliopsida; Brassicales; Caricaceae.
GAGGGAGCGGGGUCCCGAGGUAGAGGGACUGGGACCGGCUGAGGGUGAACUGGGGGACCCUGUGGUGGCGCCUGCUGAUGUGGUGGGGGCACCGGAAUGUGCUGUGGCGGCACCUGUUGGUACUGUGGCUGUGGUACCGGAUCGUACCGCGGCUGUGGUGCCGGGUGGUAUCGUGGAGGAACAGGCUCCUGCCGGGGUGGCUCGGGAUCAGCCUGCU